Molecule: ribosomal RNA, 208 nt
Filed under: uncultured bacterium
Lineage: Bacteria
Description: partial 16S ribosomal RNA
Rfam family: Bacterial small subunit ribosomal RNA
Source: RNAcentral
AUUGAACGCUGGCGGCGUGCUUAACACAUGCAAGUCGUGCGGUAACAGGCGUAGCAAUACGUGCUGACGAGCGGCGAACGGGUGCGUAAUACAUGGGAAUCUGCCUUUUAGUGGGGAAUAACCCGGCGAAAGCCGGGCUAAUGCCGCAUAAGAUCUUCGGAUGAAAGCGGGGAGUCGUAAGACCUCGCGCUGAUAGAUGAGCCCACUG